RNAcentral lists this ribosomal RNA (413 nucleotides) under Limnobacter sp. RNAcentral's name for it is "bacterial SSU rRNA". It matches the Rfam family "Bacterial small subunit ribosomal RNA", at positions 1 to 413 of the family's 1533-position model. The record is from RNAcentral. Lineage: Bacteria; Pseudomonadati; Pseudomonadota; Betaproteobacteria; Burkholderiales; Burkholderiaceae.
AGAUUAAACUGAAGAGUUUGAUCCUGGCUCAGAUUGAACGCUGGCGGCAUGCCUUACACAUGCAAGUCGAACGGUAACAGGUCUUCGGAUGCUGACGAGUGGCGAACGGGUGAGUAAUACAUCGGAACGUGCCCAGUAAUGGGGGAUAGCUCGGCGAAAGCCGGAUUAAUACCGCAUACGCCCUGAGGGGGAAAGUGGGGGACCGCAAGGCCUCACGUUAUUGGAGCGGCCGAUGGCUGAUUAGCUAGUUGGUAGGGUAAAGGCCUACCAAGGCGACGAUCAGUAGCUGGUCUGAGAGGACGAUCAGCCACACUGGGACUGAGACACGGCCCAGACUCCUACGGGAGGCAGCAGUGGGGAAUUUUGGACAAUGGGGGAAACCCUGAUCCAGCAAUGCCGCGUGUGCGAAGAAG